Molecule: ribosomal RNA, 497 nt
Filed under: uncultured bacterium
Lineage: Bacteria
Description: partial 16S ribosomal RNA
Rfam family: Bacterial small subunit ribosomal RNA
Source: RNAcentral
GAUGAACGCUGGCGGCGUGCCUAAUACAUGCAAGUCGAGCGAACAGACGAGGAGCUUGCUCCUCUGACGUUAGCGGCGGACGGGUGAGUAACACGUGGAUAACCUACCUAUAAGACUGGGAUAACUUCGGGAAACCGGAGCUAAUACCGGAUAACAUGUUGAACCGCAUGGUUCAACAGUGAAAGACGGUCUUGCUGUCACUUAUAGAUGGAUCCGCGCCGCAUUAGCUAGUUGGUAAGGUAACGGCUUACCAAGGAAACGAUGCGUAGCCGACCUGAGAGGGUGAUCGGCCACACUGGAACUGAGACACGGUCCAGACUCCUACGGGAGGCAGCAGUAGGGAAUCUUCCGCAAUGGGCGAAAGCCUGACGGAGCCACGCCGCGUGAGUGAAGAAGGUCUUCGGAUCGUAAAACUCUGUUAUUAGGGAAGAACAAAUGUGUAAGUAACUAUGCACGUCUUGACGGUACCUAAUCAGAAAGCCACGGCUAACUACGUG